GUCAUAAUUUAUGAACGACUGCCUAGGGCAAAGUUCAAGGUCAAAAACUUUGGUUUCAGUUGACAACCCUGUGUCCUGUGGUGAAGAUCGUGUCCGCUCUAUAUCUUGAGAACCGUUAUGAUUUCAAAGUUUAUACUUGACAUGUUAUAUGAACCAACACCAGAGGGUGUGUCAUAAUUUAUGAACGACUGCCUAGGGCAAAGUUCAAGGUCAAAAACUUUGGUUUCAGUUGACAACCCCAUGUCCUAUGGUAAAGAUCGUGUCCGCUCUAUAUCUUGAGAACCGUUAUCAUUUCAAAGUUUAUACUUGACAUGUUUAUAAACCAACACCAAAGGGUGUGUCAUAAUUUAUUUACAACUUCCUAGGUCAAAGGUCAAGGUCAAAAACUUUGAUUUCAGUUGACAAACCCAUGUCCUAUGGUAAAGAUACAAUUUUUUAAUGCACAUUAUUCACAGCGGGGCCCACAGAGAUGGCUCCCAUCUCAAUGAUAUCUAGUUGAUAUUCAUGUCAACACCGAAAUGUUGACUACUGGGCUGGUUAUACCCUCGGGGACGAAACGUCCACCAGCAGUGGCAUCGACCCAGUGGUGUAAAUAGUUAUCAAAGGUACCAGGAUUAUAAUUUAGUACGCCAGACGCGCGUUUCGUCUACAUCAGACUCAUCAGUGACGCUCAUAUCAAAAUAUUUAUAAAGCCAAACAAGAACAAAGCUGAAGAGCAUUAAGGAUCCAAAAUUCCAAAAAGUGGUGCCAAAUACAGCUAAGGUAAUCUAUGCUAAAACCGGAACUAACAAACUAGCCCAAAAGUUCCAACGAAACUUAUCAACCACGACGAUGAGGAUGAUGAUAAUGACGAUAAGAAUGAUGUUGAGGAUGAUCAUGUGGAUGCACAUAACAAAGAUGAGGAAGAGAGUAUACUCUCAAAACUAAGGACACGUUUCAAUUACAAGAUGAUGAAAGUCGAACAGAUAUAGAAUUGAACGAAGUUGCGCAACUUUUAGCAACCUGGUCCAUCUAGACCAAAAAGAAAAAGAAAUGUUAGAAGGAACAGCGUGUAUGAAUAUUUC
Molecule: long non-coding RNA, 1064 nt
Filed under: Mytilus galloprovincialis (Mediterranean mussel)
Lineage: Eukaryota; Metazoa; Mollusca; Bivalvia; Mytilida; Mytilidae
Source: RNAcentral